AGCCAUGCAUGUGUAAGCGAAGCUUUUAGUGGAGCUGCGGAAGGCUCAGUAACGGGCGUCUAAUUUGAUCUCUUAGAGCGGACAACCUCUGUAAACGGAGGACAAAACGCAUUAUGGGCAUGUCCGAAAGAUGCCUAGACAACCGAAAGGUGUGAGAGAAUAAGGGGCCAUCCCAUCAGUUAGUAAGUAAGGUAAAGGCCUACUUAGACGAAGACGGGUACGGGGAAUUAUUGUUCGAUUCCGGAGAGGGAGCCUGAGAGAUGGCUACCAGGUCCAAGGAUAGCAGCAGGCGCGAAAAUUACCGAAGCCUAAAGUAGGGCGGUAGUAAUGAAACGUGAAAACGAUGUACUGAUAAAAGAGGUAGUAGUGACUGGAGGUAAAGACUGGUGCCAGCAUCCGCGGUAAUACCAGCUCCAGGAGUGUCUAUGAUGAUUGUUGCAAUUAAAGAGUUCGUAGUCGAGUAGCAUGACAGGUCUUUAAAGUGGUGGAUCAAACGACGACCAGGAUCUGAAAAGCUAAGAAUGAGGAGCGAUCAGGGGCUAGUUUAUUAAGCGACGAAAGGUGAAAUUUGAUGACUCGCUUAGGAGAAACGGAGGCGAAGGCGCUAGCCAGGAGCGAAUCCGAUGAUAAAGGACGUAGGCUAGAGGAUCGAAGACGAUUAGAGACCGUUGUAGUUCUAGCAGUAAACGAUGCCGACGCUGUGCUAUGAACUGUAGUGCGGAAGAGAAAUCGAGUAGGGCCUUGGGGAGAGUACAUACGCAAGUAAGAAACUUAAACGAAAUUGACGGAAGAACACCACAAGGAGUGGAGUGUGCGGCUUAAUUUGACUCAACGCGGGACAGCUUACCAAGCCCGACGACUGGACGAGUGUAGUACACGAUAGGUCGGAGAGUGGUGCAUGGCCGUUAACGACAAGUGGGGUGACCUUAUGGUUAAGUCCGGGAAGUAGUGAGACCCCUGCUAGCGGAAGACGAGACGAGUUAGGACAGGUACGCAAAGUACAGGAAGGAAGGGUCAAGAACAGGUCAGUGAUGCCCUCAGAUGGCUUGGGCUGCACGCGCACUACAGUGGUCACACGAAUAAAGGAAAGUAACAGUAAAGGUGAUUGAGAGGGAAUGAGCUUUGUAAGAGGCUCAGGAACGAGGAAUUGCUAGUAAUCGCAGACUCAUUAAGAUGCGAUGAAUACGUCCCUGUUCUUUGUACACACCGCCCGUCGUUAUCGAAGAUGGAAUCAGGUGCGAACAAGUGAAAACGAGUGAGUACAGGGUUCUAGAUGUGAUACAAGUCGUAACAAGGUAGCUGUAGGAGAACCUGUAGCUGGAUCAGACUGAGAGAAACGAAGGAGUAAAGUUAGAAGAGUAAAGAAAACCCUGCGCAAGGGAUCUUUUGGUUCGGUGAGCGAGGAAGAGCGCAGCGGAGAGCGAGAUGUGCAGGAGCAGCGGCGAUGACGGCACGUGCUUGAAGAUGCGGUGGCAGGACAACCCCUUAGAUUUAAGCAUAUUAGUAAAGGGAGGAAAAGAAACUAACGAGGAUUCCUGUAGUAGCGGCGAGCGAACAAGGAGGAGCCCAAAGUGUAAUUGAUGGAGCGAUCUGUUGAGAUGUCAAAAAAGCACGGCGUAACCAGUCUGGAACGGAGGGCCUAAGAGGGUGAUAGCCCCGUGAGCGUGCAGGGAGAAGGAGUAGCAGUGCUCGGUAGUGCACUGUGAACGGGUGGCAGCGUCCAUCCAAGGCUAAAUAUAACACCGAGACCGAUAGAGGAUAAGUAGAGUGAUCGAAGAAGGAAUAGACUGAAAAAGUGAAAUUGCGCAGGGAUCCGAUUAGAUCGGACCCGUCUUGAAACACGGACCAAGGAGAGCAACUACGUGGCGAGUAGAAGGUAGGAAGAACCUUGUGCGAAAUGAAGAUGAGUGAGACACGUGGCUGCGACCCGAUAGACUUGUGAACUAUGCCUGGUGUCUAUGAAGGCUGACGAAAGACAGCUGGAAGUAGUAAGUUCUUGUGAUGUGCAAAUCCAUGGCAUGAGCUGGGCAUAGGGGCGAAAGACCAAACGAACAGUCUGGUAGCUGGUUCCCCUCGAAAUGUGUAUCAGGACAGCACGUGAGCGAAGAGAGGCUAGGUAGAGCGAAGGUCGUUUAACUAACGUGGCGAACGAACUGCGAAUGAGCCUGGCGGGCCGUGCGUGAAGACGGGCCGCGGACUUGAGCGAGCGUAGUGGGCGAGUUCUGGUAAGCAGGACUGGCGAAGAGGAAUGAACCUAGCGGGACGAUAAGGCACCCAACAUUGUGGCAGAGACGUGAAGGGUGUAGGUGAAUGAAGACGAUAGGGCGGUGGCCAUGGAAGUCGGCAUCCGGUAAGAAACGUGUUGCAACGUACCUAUGGAAUUCAGCUGCUCCGAAAAUUGACGGUGCUUACGCGAUGGCCGAUGCGUCUCUUGAGGUAGGGGGGCGUGCAGGUGCUGGAGAAGGUGUGCCGCGAGGCACGGUGGAGGCGCCUGUUGAGCAGAUCUUGGUGGUAGUAGUGAGAAUUUGUCUGUGAAGGCAAAGACUGAGGAGGAGUAGGUUUUCCUUACGAUGAGCGACAAUAAGGAGAGAGCCGGUGCUAAGUGAAGGUGUGGAUGCCUGAACGAUAGAGAAACAGGAAGAAAAUCCUGUGCCUGGGUGUUGAGCGGCAACGCGAUGCAUCACGUAGACGGACCUGGUUAAGUCGUGCAGAGAAACCUAUUCUGUGCAAAGAUGAGAGAGUGCUUAGAGAUAGGUCAACUAGCGAAGAGGACUUGAGUCUGACCCAAAUGACAUGAGCGUUGACGACUGAAAGCAGGUUCCCGUGAAAAGACGUGAUGAUUUGGCAUCUAGACCGUACCAAUAACCGCGACAGGACUCCAAGGUGAAUAGCCUCUAGUUGAUGUUUAAAGCAAGUAAGGGAAGUCGGCAAAAUAGAUGCGUAACUUCGGGACAAGUAUUGGUUCUUAUGGAACUCUUAGUGGCAAGGGGAAUCCGACUGUUUAAUAAAAACAUAGCUUCAUGAACAAGAGAUGAAGUGAUUUCUGCCCGGUGCUUGAGGAGUGAAAGAGAGGAAAGUAUUGUAAGCGCGGGUUAACGGCGGGAGUAACUAUGACUCUCUUAAGGUAGCCAAACGCCUCGUCACUUAAAUGGUGACGCGCAUGAAUGGAAUGACGAGAUUCCCACUGUCCCUACUUGCAGACUAGCGAAACCCACGGACCAGGGGAACGGGCCUGGCACAGUCAGCGGGGAAAGAAGACCCUGUUGAGCUUGACUCUAGUGUGGCAGAGCGGUGGGGACAGUUGCGAUGUAGGAAGGUGGGAGCUUCGGCACAAGUGAAAGACCACUGCGCAACAGUCCCCAUUGGACACCCCUGCGGGGAUGGCUGCCAGAUGGGGAGUUUGGCUGGGGCGGCACGGCUGCAGCAACAGAACGCAGCCGUCCGAAGGCACUUGCAGCGAGACGAGAACACCCGCGUGGAGCAUAAGGGCUUUAGAGUGCUUGAGCACAGGCUGGGCGGCCUGUGUGCGGGGAAACCCAGGCCUAGAGAUCCCACGAUCACGAGACGGUUGUGGCGUGGGUGACAGAAAAGUUACCGCAGGGAUAACUGGCUUGUGGCACCCGAGCGCAGAAAGCGACGGUGCUUUUUGAUUCUUCGAUGUCGGCUCUUCCUAUCAUGGCCAUGCAGGAGUGGCGAAGUGUUGGAUUGUUCACCCACAAACAGGGAACGUGAGCUGGGUUUAGACCGUC
Molecule: ribosomal RNA, 3749 nt
Filed under: Heterosporis sp. NBDP-2013a
Lineage: Eukaryota; Fungi; Microsporidia; Pleistophoridae
Description: eukaryotic LSU rRNA
Rfam family: Eukaryotic large subunit ribosomal RNA (bases 1459-3749)
Source: RNAcentral